Molecule: long non-coding RNA, 818 nt
Organism: Lotus japonicus
Lineage: Eukaryota; Viridiplantae; Streptophyta; Magnoliopsida; Fabales; Fabaceae
Exons: 2
Source: RefSeq, a predicted model, not a curated record
AAUAGAGUAGAUUUGGUAGGUUGUUUGGUAUAGGAGAAAUAAAGAAGAGAGAGUAGUGUGAGUUCUCUCUCCUUUCGUUUGGUGGAAUAGAGAGUAAAGAGAGAGAGAGUUACUUUAAUUGGUAAAAGACAGUUUUGCCCAAACUUUUUUCCAUUCAACCCUUGUUUGCCAGCUAGUUCUUCCUUGAUCUCCCAGAUUCCCGUGAGUUCUUCCCAUCACCAUCUUCAAUCCAUCUUUUGACGACCCUGCCCACAGUGCGUUCCGCAGCCGUCCGACGACCCACUGCCACCGAUCGCACUUUUUUCUGUCAUCAAACUCGGUUGUUGCAAAAAUGACAAAGGGUAAGAGUCAAACUGUGGAACCUAGUCAAGUCCGUAACGAAGUCUUGAGGUGGACGGAUGACAUGGACCGAAUGUUAUUGAACGCCUUUAGCGAGGAAGCCGCCAAGGGACAUAGGUGUCAAGGUUCAUGGACAAUAGAAGCCUAUGCUAACGUUCUCCAAGCAUUACAGAUUGCUAUUUCACCAACCAUGAUGAAGCAACAUAUCAUAAUUAGAAUGAGGGCCUUGAGGGCUAGGUCAACUAGGCUGAGUGAUGGUGAACUCCUUUAGCAAUUCAUGUUCAGCCAAAAUUCUUUGUUGUCAUUAUGGAUAUGUACUUUUUUAAGUGUUUGUAAUAAGGACAUCAUCUGAUGCCUCUUGGUUAUUAUGUAAUUUGCAAUCUAUAGUGAAAGACAUGCAAUCUGUUUUAGGACAAAUGUGUUGUAAGCCUUUUGGAUAUCAUGUAUGGAUUAUAAUGCAACAUGACUACUUUUAUUAA